RNAcentral lists this ribosomal RNA (2826 nucleotides) under human gut metagenome. Its description in RNAcentral is "bacterial LSU rRNA". It matches the Rfam family "Bacterial large subunit ribosomal RNA". The record is from RNAcentral.
UAAAGCAAGAAAGGGCGUAUGGGGAAUGCCUAGGCACACUCCGGCGAAGAAGGACGCAGCAAACAGCGAAAUGCGACGGUGAGCGGUAAGCACGUGAAGAGCCGUCGAUAUCCGAAUGGGGGAACCCACACGGAGUCAUAUCCGUGUAUCACAUGUCGAAUACAUAGACAUGAUGAGGCGAGACGCAGGGAACUGAAACAUCUAAGUACCUGCAGGAAGAGAAAAUAAGAAUGAUUUUCUGAGUAGCGGCGAGCGAAAGGGAAAGAGCCCAAACCGAUCUUAGGAUCGGGGUAGUAGGAUCAUCGAGAAAUCUGACAGAGGAUCAUAGAGGAAUCACAUGGGAAGGUGAGCGAGAGAGGGUGAGAGCCCCGUACUCGAAAUGAGAGACUGGAGAGAGAUGACACCUGAGUAGGGCGGGACACGAGAAAUCCUGUCUGAAUCGGCCGGGACCAUCCGGCAAGGCUAAAUACGAGAGAGUGACCGAUAGUGAACCAGUACCGUGAGGGAAAGGUGAAAAGAACCCCGGGAGGGGAGUGAAAGAGAACCUGAAACCCUAUGUUUACAAGCAGUGGGAGCGCAAGCGACCAUGUACUUUUUGUAGAACGGGCCGGCGAGUUACUGUGUGUAGCGAGGUUAAGGUGUAGAGCACCGGAGCCGUAGCGAGAGCGAGUCUCAAAUGGGCGAAUAGUUGCAUACAGUAGACCCGAAACCGGGUGACCUAUCCAUGGACAGGAUGAAGCGGUGGUAAAGCACCGUGGAGGUCCGAACCACACGUAUGUUGAAAAAUGCGGGGAUGAGCUGUGGAUAGCGGAGAAAUUCCAAUCGAACUCGGAGAUAGCUGGUUCUCCCCGAAAUAGCUUUAGGGCUAGCGUUAUCUUAGAUUACCGGAGGUAAAGCACUGAAUGGGCUAGGGGGCGAUAAGCUUACUGAACCCUAUCAAACUCUGAAUGCCGGCUAAUUGAUGAUCAGCAGUCAGACAGUGUGAGAUAAGUUUCAUUGUCAAAAGGGAAACAGCCCAGACCUACAGCUAAGGUCCCAAAUGUAUGCUAAGUGGAAAACGAUGUGGAGUUGCGAAAACAACCAGGAUGUUGGCUUAGAAGCAGCCAUUCAUUAAAAGAGUUCGUAAUAGAUCACUGGUCGAGUGACUCUGCGCGGAAAAUAUAACGGGGCUAAGUAUGCAACCGAAGCUUAGGAUUGUUCUUUGAACAGUGGUAGGGGAGCGUCGUGUACGGGGUGAAGUCGCAGCGGAAGCAGCGGUGGACUGUACAGGAGUGAGAAUGCCGGAAUGAGUAGCGAGAAUUAUGUGGGAAUCAUAAUGGCCGAAAAUCUAAGGUUUCUUGGGGAAGGUUCGUCCGCCCAAGGUAAGCCGGGAGCUAAGGCGAGGCCGCGAGGCGUAGUCGAUGCACAUACGGUAGAAAUUCCGUAGCCACCGAACUUUAAACCAGAAGGACACUUGCAGAUAGCGGAACCCAGCCGUUGGUUGAGCUGGGCGCAAGGGACUGAAAUAUAGUAGGGAAGUCCGCGAUGCUGUGAGGCGAGAAAAGCUCUGGCGUAUACUAAGGUGCCCGUACCGCAAACCGACACAGGUAGAUGAGGAGAGAAUCCUAAGGCCAACGGGAGAAGGGUUGUUAAGGAACUCGGCAAAUUGACCCCGUAACUUCGGGAGAAGGGGUGCUCCAGAGAUGGAGCCGCAGAGAAUCGGCCCAAGCAACUGUUUACCAAAAACACAGGUUUGUGCUAAAUCGAAAGAUGACGUAUACGAGCUGACGCCUGCCCGGUGCUGGAAGGUUAAGAGGAGAUGUGCAAGCAUUGAAUCGAAGCCCCAGUGAACGGCGGCCGUAACUAUAACGGUCCUAAGGUAGCGAAAUUCCUUGUCAGGUAAGUUCUGACCCGCACGAAAGGUGUAAUGAUCUGGGCACUGUCUCAACCAUGGACUCGGUGAAAUCUUAAUACCUGUGAAAAUGCAGGUUACCCGCAUCAGGACGGGAAGACCCCAUGGAGCUUUACUGUAGCUUGAUAUUGAGAUUCGGUAUGUUAUGUAGAGAAUAGGUGGGAGACUAUGAGACUAGGACGCCAGUUCUAGAGGAGUCACCUUUGGAAUACCACCCUUAAUGUAUUGGAUUUCUAACCUCGACCCAUGAUCUGGGCCAGGGACAGUGUCUGGUGGGCAGUUUGACUGGGGCGGUCGCCUCCCAAAAAGUAACGGAGGCGCCCAAAGGUUCCCUCAGAAUGGAUGGAAAUCAUUCGCAGAGCGUAAAGGUAUAAGGGAGCUUAACUGCAAGACCAACAAGUCGAGCAGAUACGAAAGUAGGGCUUAGUGAUCAGACGGUGCAGAAUGGAAUGGCCGUCGCUUAACGGAUAAAAGUUACCCUGGGGAUAACAGGCUGAUACCACCCAAUAGUUCACAUAGACGGUGGUGUUUGGCACCUCGAUGUCGGCUCGUCACAUCCUGGAGGUGAAGUCGCUUCCAAGGGUUGGGCUGUUCGCCCAUUAAAGUGGCACGCGAGCUGGGUUCAGAACGUCGUGAGACAGUUCGGUCCCUAUCCGAUGUGGGCGUAGGAAAAUUGAAGAGAGCUAUCCUUAGUACGAGAGGACCGGGAUGGACAAACCUCUGGUGUAUCUGUUGUCACGCCAGUGGCAGCGCAGAGUAGCUAUGUUUGGAAAGGAUAACCGCUGAAAGCAUCUAAGCGGGAAGCCAACUUUGAGAUGAGUUUUCCCAUACGAAAGUAGUAAGAUCCCAAAAAGACGAUUUGGUUGAUAGGCUGGAGAUGGAAGAAUGGUGACAUUUUGAGUUGACCAGUACUAAUAGAUCGAGGAUUUAAUCAU